CACUGGCACAGCUGCCACUGACUGAACAGUGUGUGUGUGUGUGUGUGUGUGUGUGUGUGUGGGUGUGUGCGCACUUGUGUGUUCAAAUCCGAAUCUGUAACUUUCUGCACAUCACAGGUGGAGUCGCUGUAGCCCAGUUCUCUACAAUCAAACGUCCUCAUACCGUAUGUGUGUUUAUGUGUGUGUUCACAGAAUGUGCUAGCCGCGGUCGGUUGGUCGGGACUUUCCUGAGUGUGUGUGCUCUGACGGUACUGUGCGGGCUGGUGGUGGUGGCUGUGUCCAGAUUGCUAUUACAGAAAAGAGGCUGGACACCCGGUGACCCUAUUGAGGAUGGAGGCUAUCACCCCACUAUCAAGGAGCUGUCAUACAUCCCCAGAACCAAUGAGAAGACUGUCACCUACAGGAGGGACUGCCCGUCUGUGGAGAUGCACAUCCAGGUGCCCAAGAUGAACCUGGACGACCACUGGCAGUGCUAGGCAGAAGUCAAAGGUCACGAGGAAGUCAGCAGCAAUAGAGACAUGUGGGAGACGCAUUUGCUCAGGCCCUCAUUCGGCCUUUAAACUGGUGAAGAAUGGCAGACUUAGUAAUAAGGGCGCAGUGGAAUCGAGUUAGUAAAUCUUAUGAACUGAAAUACAAUUGACCAAACUUAUUUGGACUGUGUGACUUCGGCCAGUAUCCUGCAAAUUUUACAGGAAGAGGUGAGGAGAGGAAGAGCACAUGUUCCCUCCUCCUCUUCAUCUGUUGCAGCAGGGUGGCUACUUCCUCUACAAGGUACGAUGUGGUCAUUCCUUUUACUUUUAGCCAUGCUGCAGUUACUGCUCUAACUUAUGUUUGUUUGUUUUGUGUGUGUGUGUGUGUGUGUGUGUGUGUGAGAGAGAGUUUAGGGGUAUGUUGGGGUCUGUAGGCAGGUACAUGUAUGCAGGCCUCCUAUUUAUAAUGUUCUGGUCAAAAAAAAGCAAAAUACACACUACUUGUGUUAGGUUAAUGUGCUUGAAUGACACUCCGCCAAACUUUAGCAUUGUAAUACUAUGACUGUGGCACAGUAACGUCAUCUUGUGUUAGCCUGCCCCCUUGUGGUCAGUGCGAGCUAUGGCAUUUCUUUCUCAAAUACUGUCUAAAUCACUGACCUCAGCUGUGUUGCCUUGGGAUUUAAGAAAUGAAGCACGCCAGUGGUACAGCAGGCUUUUACAAAUCAUAGAAAAGUCUGUUAAUUUCUGUGGAGCUGUAUUUUGAUUUUUUUUUACCUUUUUGAUUAAUUAUUGAUUAAGUGUUUUGUUUCCUGUCUUUUUUCUAAGUGCUUUAGUGUUUCUCUAUUAUGUUUUUCCAUUGUCACGUGAGGUUCGCUGAUCAACUGCCUUGCUCAUCAGUAUUAUACUGUAGAUGUUUUAUCAUGUAAAGCGAGCAUGUAGUUGUAUAUUGUUGUCUAUUGUCAAUAAUCAGGUUAGACUUGCACUAGAACAACUGUUUUGCAUUGUACUACUGAAAAGUGUCCCGUUCGGGCUGUGCAGAGGAGGGUGCAGGGCUCGGUGGGCACAGAGGGAGACUGGAUCAAGUGGCACGGGCUGCUUCUGCUUGCUGUACAUUGUGCAUUUUGGGAGUCAUGUGCACAUUAAGUGUGGAUGACACUGACGUUAACAAAAUAACAACACUGGACUGAAGAUUAAUAUCUCAAAAAAUGAACAUACUGACGCUUACUGGCAACCAUAUCAUCAAUAGAACGAUCAUGUGACCUCUAAGUCAGGGACAGAAAUGCACCGGCAUACAUCGUGACUCAUUCCAGUUGCACUGCACUAAAAAGGCCACACUCUAAGAAUAGACUAAUUUCCAGGCAAGGGUACGUUUGGUAAAGGUACGGAGAUCAGAGCUGGAAUUUUACGCCUUACACUCUUCAUCCAGAGCCAUGAGGGUGCGUUUGGUCCAUUUGCUCCACUGGAUCCCAGCGCCAGGUGCAUGGCCUCCUAUGAGAAGGCCUUUUGCCCAGUCUCUCCUUUUGAUUUUAACACUAUUUUGUUUACAGCAAUAGCUGCUCUGAUUUUUUUUUUUCUAGUUGGGAACACUAAUUAUUAUUUAUUGUGAUUUUAUUUCUUUGUAUUGUACAUUUUCAUUGUACUAUUUUGUGAUACUAAAUAUCACGCAGCCUUUGGGCAACUUGAGAUACAGGUAGUAAGUACUGUUGAGUGUUUAUGAAGAGCACACUCCUGUCCCUGGGCAUGAGAAUGAAUCAGCAGCAAUAAAUAAUCAUCUCAUCUAACUGGGCAUUGACUUUGGUGUAACAACAGCACUUUUCUGUGUAAUUUUGCUGUAAAUUUUUGUGACUAGUUGUGUAGCAUGAAUGUUUUCUCCA
Molecule: long non-coding RNA, 2344 nt
Filed under: Myripristis murdjan (pinecone soldierfish)
Lineage: Eukaryota; Metazoa; Chordata; Actinopteri; Holocentriformes; Holocentridae
Description: lncRNA (ENSMMDG00005010892.1)
Source: RNAcentral